UACGAAGGGUGCAAGCGUUACUCGGAAUUACUGGGCGUAAAGCGUGCGUAGGCGGUUUGUUAAGUCUGAUGUGAAAGCCCUGGGCUCAACCUGGGAAUGGCAUUGGAUACUGGCAACCUAGAAUGUGGUAGAGGGUGGCGGAAUUCCCGGUGUAGCAGUGAAAUGCGUAGAUAUUAGGAAGAACACCAGUGGCGAAGGCGACUUUCUGGACGGUUCCUGACGCUGAGGCGCGAAAGCUAGGGGAGCAAACAGG
Molecule: ribosomal RNA, 253 nt
Filed under: uncultured bacterium
Lineage: Bacteria
Description: partial 16S ribosomal RNA
Rfam family: Bacterial small subunit ribosomal RNA
Source: RNAcentral